UUGGUGGGUGGGUGCAGGAGGGAGGAGCGCAGGACGGAAGAGCCUGCGAUGCGGAGGCACCCAUAGGAGACUUAGCGCAUCUCUCUGUGUGUUUAGUAGCCCUCGCUUCUUACUCGGUGUCCAAUACUGAAAUAAGCUAGCAGCACCUAUAGCCUUCCUGUUGAGAAAAUGGUUACUCCAUUAUUCUGGAACAGGAAAAGAGCGUCACCUUGUUCCAGUUCUUGGACACCCACCACCUCCAACCAUCAACAAAUGCUGUGCUUUCUCCUCCCUCAGAUAGACCCAGAAUCCUGGCCGCCUCGAUGUGACUCUUAAGUGGUGGUUCAGGUGACCAGCAUUCCUGCCUGGAUAAUCCAUCUACUUGUGGAGUUUAUUCUUAUUUUUGAAGAAAGUGGAUAAUGCUGAAUUGAGGCGAAGAAUUCCCAUCUGGGGGCCCAAAGGGAAAUAGGAAAGUUGACUCGUCAGAGGAGACCUAGCUGCCAUUAUUUGCCUUCCAGUCGCUAUGUUCAUUGGUCAGCUGACAUCUUGACCAUGACAUUCUGAAAGGCUGAAUAGAUACUUAAAAUGGGCUAGAGAGAUGGCUCUGCUCUUCCAGAGGUCCUGAGUUCAAUUCCCAGAAGCCUCAUGGUGGA
Molecule: long non-coding RNA, 632 nt
Organism: Apodemus sylvaticus (European woodmouse)
Lineage: Eukaryota; Metazoa; Chordata; Mammalia; Rodentia; Muridae
Exons: 3
Source: RefSeq, a predicted model, not a curated record